Long non-coding RNA from Equus caballus (horse), 12668 nucleotides. The record is from Ensembl. NCBI's taxonomy places the organism in Eukaryota, Metazoa, Chordata, Mammalia, Perissodactyla, Equidae.
CUUAAACUCUUGAGCAUCUAGAAUCCACUACAACAUUUAAAAUGGCAGCUGAUGUCUGUGGGAACCCUGGAUGUUUAGGAGCUGGCUAAAGCUAGAGUUCUCAUACUCUUUGAUUAAGGGCACCACUUUCAGAUAAAAACAUAGACCUGAAUGGCAUCAUCCAGUAUCCAAGGAAACCAUCGUGGUUCCUUGCUAAGCAUAAAAGUGUUUUCAUAUUCUUUAUGAAAGUUACAAAAAGGAAGAAGAGAGAUAUGGAGGGAGAAAGGAAAGAAAAGAGGAAAGAAAAAUGGCCAUGGGAGGUGGAAUGUCAGUGAUGCUGAAGGUUUGAACCUGGAUGAUCUCAGAAAAGGGCAGCAAGUUUUCUGGCUCUGCCUUGAAGAGAGAAGAUCCUGGAGUAGCAGGUGUGUGUCGCAGCAGGAGCAGAGGGUAAUGAUGCCGGGGUGCCAUGCUAGGUAACAUGCACAACCGGUUUGUUUGAACAACAAGAACAUGUUAAAUUCAAGCCUUCCUAUGGAUUUGCUCUUUUCUCACUUCUGGUUGAAAUCUUAGUCAUCCCCACUGAUAUCUGCACCAUUUCCCGAUAUCAAAAAAGGAGGCUUUCAGUGCAAGAGUGGUGGAUGGCAGGGGUAAGUGGUCAAAGAACUCAGUAGAAAAAGAGUAAUGAUUCAAGGACCCUUAAAACUGUGUAAAAAGGUGAGUCUGGAGGUAAGAAUGUAUGUGGAGAAAGCGUGAGAGAAAAAUGAAGGCUUAAUUUAGGAUUAGCAAAAGAAUCAAAGAAAAUGACCAGGAGGAGAGAGGAGAAUGAGGACCGUACAUGCACAGGGUAAUGGUGGAGCAGUUCUCAGAGAUUAAGAUGGCAUUAAUGUGAUUUUUAGAGAGAUAUUUCAAAUUUUUGGCAACACAUUCCAACAGCAAUAAUGCCGAAGAGCCAUCUGAAAUCAGGGGCCAACAGAUGAGGGCUUUCUUUAACUUUAUUCUUGAAUUGCAGUCAAGAUUAACUUCUGUAAACCCCAUUGUGUGUGGCUGUGUGUGUGUGUGUGUGUUUUAGUUUGUUUCCAAAGCACUGUCUCAGUUUAUUUUUUCAGUUACCCCCACAAGGUCCCUGUGAGUUAGCUCCGCAGCAUCAUCAGGCAAAUCUCCUGACUCUCAAUUCUUAGCUAAUUGCAUUAGAAAAUAUUGACUUUAAUUGUGUGUGAAAGGUGAACAAAUUUUGUAUUAAACAGUCACCAGAUUUUAGAACAAGAGCUAAAGUUCAGGAAAGGCUUGGAGUUCCAAAGAAUAGAAAGACAUGGAAAAGAGCAGAAGUAGCCAUUCAGUCGGAGUCAAUAGAAUUAACCCAGCUAGUAUUUGAGCCUUUGCUCUCUGAAGUUAUGGGUCAAUGAUGUCGAAACAGAUACUCACCUCUGACAAAGAAAGGCAUGAAUACUGGCGUGAGAGGACAUGGCUCUUUUUCUUUGAAUCCCAGAUCAAAUUUAAACCUGUGAUUUUGGAGCUUACUCAUCAGAGGAGAAAUAUCAUGAGCUAUUUGCUCUCUCUGCUGUAACACAGCUCUGGCACGCCUGGAAGUUAUGUUGAGAUCGUCAAAUCUACAGUCAAGGACCAUCUUUGUGAAUCAUGAAACCAUAUGCCACUGGUUGUCUGAAUUGAAAGAAAAAAAACAACAAAAACAAAAACCCCAACUCUACACCAAUGAAACUAGUGAUGUGAUCAGACAGUGCCAGGGGCCAUUUGACCAUCUUAUACCUUCUCAAUCUAUACAUUAAAAAGAAAUCUCUGCUAUUGCCUGAGCCAUGUAAAAUACCAGAACUCCUGUAGUGCUAACAAGGAAUAAAGAUCUUGCACCAGAUGGUGCCUCUUGUCUCCAUCUAUCUCUAGCCCAAACAAUCUGCCAGAGUUUUGAAGAAAAAUGCAAUGUGAUCGUGUUGCAAAGUAUAUGAAGAAACAGUAUGAAAAGUAAUCUGGCUCAAGCAGUGGAACCCAGAAGGAAAGGGAUUAUUAUGACUCUUUGAGCCUAUGGAUGAGGGUGCUGUUAUCUCUGCACAUUAGUCCAUAAAACAAAUGGUACAUCCAGGCACAGCUGGAAGGAGAGUAUCUCACUGAGAUGUCUCUUCGCAUCUCUGCAACAUUUUGAUAUUAGUCAAUCUGGUUGAAAUUUCAGGAAUUCAUCUGGAUAUUUUGUUUAUAUAACAAAAUAAACAGUUUGAUGACUUUUUAAAAACUUACUAGCUAUAAAGGGAUAGUGCACAGAAGAAUUAUAUUAUUUAAUAUGUUUUUCUGUAUCAUCUCGCAUACUGAAUUUGUCCAUAUUAAUGAUGAGAACUUGCAUACAGUUUCUAUGUCCCUUUUGCAGAAUAUUCUUAAAAUUUUCUUUAAUAAGCUUGUAUGGGCUUUUUGGUCAUUUCUCUGCUUCUCAUUAAGACUUUUGUGACCACAAUGUUUUCAAAUAUCUUCUCAUCCUCUCAUACUUCUAUCAAGAUAUUGGUACCUCUUUGCCAUAAGACCUUUGACAGUUUUAUCUAACACCUAUAGGAUUUGAAAGUGCUUUAUGAUCAGCGGAUAUUUACUGGAGAGAAAAGACCUUCCCAGGUCCUUUCUAGAUGCAACUCAUCUGAACAGACAAUAUAAUUUUAUUUUACUUGUGGUGCUUGGACUGGAAUGAUGUAAAUGACAAGCCUAGAAAAUAAUGGUGAUUUGAUAGAAGGUAGCUCAUUGGUGCUAUUCAGAGUGUGGUCUUCAGACUGAUUCUGAUUGGCAAACUGAUAAAGGUCUAUGAUUAGACAAAUGCAGAAAUUGAGAGUCAGCAUUUAGAAAUUUCUACAGCAAUUUGACAUGGCUGUGACAUCCAAGCAUGUGAUCACUUCUCCAGAAGUUCAUUUUAGUUUAGUUUACCAAAGUAUCAGUCCAUGAUGGAUUGGAGGAAAUAAAAACUCUGUUCACUAAUUGUGUUCAGACAGCUUACGAAGCACCACUUUAGAGUCCAUAAUUUCAUGAUUUUGUGUAAGAUGAGAUUGAAGUAGAGACAAUGGAUCCACACACAAAGAGAAGGUUAUAGCAAUCAUCUAGUUACACGUUAACCAUGACUCAGGAGCUUUACUGGGAGUUGUCGAAGGAAAGGAAUACGUAUAUCUUGGAAAUGUUACAUGGAGAAGGAAUAAGAUAUAGUCUUGAACUGAGCAGGCCAUGUGACAAGGAGACAAAUGCUGCCCCGGCAUUAGCCUAGAUGGUGCUGCUGCCGAUAGAUGUAGAAAAGCUUCAUUGGAAAGACAGCCUCAAAAACACUAGGAAUUCUGGCUUUUUAAUUCUGAGUCAGUGCUGGCAAAACAUCCAUUUAGAAAUUUGCAGUGAACCAUGAAAGACUAUGGACCUCACUGAAGAGUUCAAUAUUAGAAAUUUAGAACAGACGGGAAAUUCUUCCUGAUAGCUGUCCUGAGAAAGAGAAGUUUUCUUCUUCACAUUUUCUCAAGUUUGAGAUGAGAUAACGCUAUUUGCAACUUAUCUUCUUUUUCAUUAUAAGGUAGAUACAAUACCUCAUGGGCGUGGAUGAAAGACACGUUCUCAGUACACUCCUGCCUUUGUGGGAUAUGUUGGCAUAUUCCACGCACUGAAGAAACGCCAUGGCUAGGUUAGCCCAUAAUAAGAGUAGCGAAGUCUGCUUAAUGAUGGUGUAUUUAAAUGAUGCUGGAAAUAAAACUUUUUUUGGUAUCUCAGAUUCGAAUGUUGUCAUGGAAAUAUUAUUAGAAAUAAGUAGUGGUAAACUCUCUUCAGGUUAUUUCCAUAACACCUUUUCUUUUUUUCUUCUUUAACCUCUUAAUAGAGUUGAAAUAAUGUUUUUAGUGCCAACAAUAGUAUCAUUAUGAUUUCUGAUUUCUAGUUGUAGUAUUAUAAGUGAUAUUGUUAAUUGUGUUUUAAACUUUUUGUCAGUUAGUAGGUUUUUUAUGGGCUGUGAUAAUGAUCCAUAUGGACAACUGUUUAUAUCGUUGCUUUUAUGGAAAUCCUAUGCCAGAGUUGAGGCUAGAGGAAAGGUUGGUACUUCGUCUAAUUCAUCACACACACACACACACUCACACACACACACACACACAACUACCAGAUGAUCUCUUUUGACUCCUUGGUGCAAGUAGCAAAGGAAAUGUUGGGACUCAGGUAAAGAUUCAUCUCUCUAGGUCUUGGAGAGCCUGCAGUUCACCCAAAAUGUGGAUUGUUUGUUUUUAAAGAUGCAUCAUAGAAGUACUGGCUUCACAGUUGGAAAGAAAUCCUUGUCAUUUUAUCUUCUUUUAUCAAAUACCUAACCCAGUUCCAUUUUAGCCCUGCUGCCCAGGGAAGAGGCACAGUUCCACCUGCUGCUGGCCUCUGAGGGGAGUGGGGAGUAGAAUGAUAGCUCUCCCUGAGCUUUGGGAAGUGUGUUGCUUGCUGAGUUUAACCUCACAUUGAACCAAUGGCAGAGGCCAAGACAACGUCAGCUAAAUAAUCUCCCUUUUAGCUCAUUAACACAUAGGAAAUGUAUAGGCAAAGUUACACUUUCUGUUUUAUUUUUUCCUUUUUCUUUCUUGACCAUCCUUCUAAAACUUCCCACUGCUUCUGCCUUCAUGUCUUUGUGCUCUUCCCUCUGUAUGGGCAUCGUUUGAUGGGCAGGGAGCGCCUGCUUUCACAUUGCUCGUCAUCUGAGCUGUCGUCUCGCGUGCAGGGUAUUUCAAUGCGAUUGCAUCUCUAUUCAUCUACUGACAGAAGUGGCAAUGAUGCAGACAGGGAUAUUUGUUAUUGAAACAAACAAAGCGUGUGGUGUUAUAGAUUCGUAUGUAAAACCUUCACAACAAAACUAAGUAGCUAUUUACUUUAAAUAUGCCAAUUAACUGUUACUAAUGUACAGUGCAAUUCUAGGUUAAGGAUGAUUGAUAGUAACACGCCGUGAAAUGUUCUUAAACUACAGUCAGGAAAUGUAAAUGUACAAAAUGGAAAGAACCAGCGGCUGACAGCACUAGUUACAUGUUUCAAAACAACACUUUCAAAUUGUUCCUUUAUUGUUCUUUCAUCCUUUCUCUAUUCUGCACUUCUACAGCCUGGUAGCCAACAGUAUACUAAGAAAGUUCUGGAAAAGAGAAAAUGUUUUAGUACGAAGUAAACAUCAUGGGCCUAAUCUCAUCUGUUUCGCUCAGGCAGAACUCUUAGGAACCACAGUGGGAGUUUUGCUUGACUGAAGAGAAUAGUCUUGUCUCUUUUAAAUGUCUGACAUUGAAUCUGUCGCUAUUACACCACUAAUUAAAAGGAGAGUUGACUUCUCCUUACUUGCUAUGUCCUGUCUAUGUGCAGUCACUUCUUCAUUUGCUCUGAGCAGCACCAUCCAAAAGAAAUACAAAGAAAGCCACAAAUACUAGCCACAUAUAUAUUCUUAAAUUUUCUAAGAGCCAGAUUUAAAAAGUAAAAGUAAACAGGUGACAUUAAUUUUAAGAACAUUUAUUGAGCCUGAUAGAGCCAAGUUAUUAUCAUCUUAACAUAUAAUCAAUGUAAAAUAGGAAUAAGGUAUUUUGUGUUCUUUUCUUCAUACUAAGUCUUAGGAAUCUGGUGUGUAUUUUAUGGUUACAGCUUAUGCCAGUUCAGGUGAACCACAUCUCAAGGUUUUGGUGGCUUUCCGUGGCCAGUGUCUACUGUAUGGGACAGCAUAGCUCUAUAUGUCACCAUUUGACGAUCAGUCUAAUAUCUGUGAUUAAAAUGUUUACACUGGGCAGUCAGGAAAAGCUGGGUAUGCAUCCUCAAUCAGCGCAAUGAUACAAUUUCUGUUCAAUUCUGCCAGUUACUGCUAAAGCCCACCACCUUUUUGGAGAAAGAUUAGUCAAAUUUCAUAAACUCUGCCAGCUGCCUGAUGAUUUUAUACAGCUACCUGGCUGUUAAAUACUAAAGUGUCUGUAGCAGGGGUACUAUGUAAAUAUUCUUUUAGUAAAAUCUCAAAAGAAAAAAAGGAAUUACUUACAAAAUAAAAACAUAACAUCAAAGUCCUUUUGGUUUGCAUCAUUUAAAUGUCAGUUGAACAUUUUCAUGAUGCAUUUCAUGUUCCUCACAACAAUGAAAGUUGAGUGUGUAUUGUUAGAAAAACAAUCAGUAAGUGCAGAUAUUGUCAAAUGAACCCUCUGAGAUGGAAAAUUGGAUCUACUUAACUCCAGUUAAUUAUUUAUUAACACCAACUGUAAACUAAAAAAUGUAAUGCAAACACGAUUAAGCAGAAAUUGAACAUCCAACAAGGAGGAGAUAAUAAAAGAGAAGCUAUUUUUUUGGAAUGAUAGGAUUUUCCACAAUCAGACUAAUUGUAUUAAUUUAGUAUCUCCUGUGUGCCACACCCUGGUAAAUGCUGUGGAGGUAAAUGAUAACAACAAUAGCAACACAAUUAUGUCAUACUUGUUCAGAUUUGGGGAGGACGUUUGUGCAACGAGCAAUCUCCAAAACAAACCAUAAUAAACUAAGUGCUGUAAUUAAGGUGAUUAUCAGAAGUACUGAAAUAAUCCAUAAGUGUGUAAUCUUUGAAGAAUCAUGGAGAAUUGUGGAAAGGCACCCAUUUCCGCCCCUUCCCUGCUCUGCUCUGGCCCCCGUCCUAGCUGCGUUUCCCAGAUUUCUGUGUCAGCUGACUCUCCAGUGGGUUCAGCCAGUGGGAAACCACGGUGGGAGAGUAAAGGGCUGGAGGAAGGGUAAAGCCAGGUUGUUUUCCCUGUUUCUUGGUGCCUCAGGUUAUAUCUCUGGGAAUGUCUCAAGGAAUGUCUUUUCUGUAGGUGCAAUGCCUGCUCUGCAUUGCUGUCACAGUUCUGUCUUCCUCUGGGUAACCCUGACUCCUGGCCCUGAUGUCACAGACUUCUCCCUUUUCUCCUCUAGUCUGGAAGUGCUAGUGAUUUGCUGCUAUUUCUGCUCUCUGGCUGGCCUCCUCACUCCCUGUUUAGUGAGCCUUUGUGCUUCUGUGUAACCAAUUCCCUGUAUUAAAUCCACCGCCUUCCCUCAUUUUAAAUACUUAGAGCUGCCACACCCCCACGCCCCAGUUGAAUUGUGACUGAUAUGAAAUAUAGAUUCUGGAAACAAAAAUGAGCAAAGUUCCAACUGAAUUAUUAAACAGAUUGCUUAGGUGCACCCAAAAGUAGGCAGUGAUUACUAAGAGCCAGCAUGAGUUUUUAGGAGCAAUCAUGACCAGUUCCCUUUGCUUCUUUAAUCGGUGGUUGAAGAAAUAUUGGCAUUAGUACAUGAGCAAGGCCUUUGAAGUGAUCUCUCAUGAUGUCCUUGUGGUUAAUAGACACAUGUGUGCUGGAUGAUACAGAUUUAGUCAGGUUUAGAGGCUGUACUGGAAAAUACCUAGAGGGAACCAUGGCUGCCUUUCAAUAUUUGAAGAGGGAUUAGAUUAAAUCUUUGAAACACUAGAGGCCAGAGCCAGGAUCAAUGUUUGAAGUUCAGGGAAUCUGAUUUUGGCUCAGUAAAUGGAAGUGCGUUCUAAGAAUUAGACUUCUUCAGAAAUGGAAUAGGCUGUCUAUGAGGGAGAUGAUUUCUGUCCGUGGUUGUAUCCAGACAGAUUUUACCUGUGAGGGAUGGAGUAAAGCGGAUUCCUGCAUUGAACUUGAAAUAGAUUAUUCUGAAAGUCUCUUCCGACUCUGAAAGCUUAAGAACUUGUGAAUAUCAUCAUCCAUGCUUGAUACUAGCAUGGCACCAAAUGUAAUUUUGUCAUUUGAUGAGACUUCAGAAGGAGCCCCAAAACUUGCUCUGCCUCUGGGUGAUCAUGGUUAAUAUAAGAGAUCACUGUCCUAGUAAAGAACCAAUUAAUCAAAUUUCCUGGUUUACAGAAGCACAAAUAUACUAUUUUCAGUUCAAAGAGAAAAUAUUUUUCUCUAGACAAUCAGCAUAAAAAUAAAGGGGCAUAAAGCCUGUGCAAAUACUACCUAAAUAUAAUCAUCGCUGAAUGUAUAUUUAGAAUAGAAAGGUACGCAUUCAAGAACUUUUGAAGGUUUUGGUGAGGAAUGACGUCAGUCCUGUGUGGGUUAGUUGUCAGGACGAAACUCCACUUUAUAAGAUAGUUUUUGUAGAAGACAAUGAAAUUUUUAGCAGAUAUUUUUAUCACCUGCUUUGACAGAAAACAGUUGAACUUCAGCUAUAAUCAAUCAAUCAAUCAUUCAGCAAAUUUUCAUCAAGCACAUGCUAUAUGCCUAGUGUCAGAGAUAGCCAUAGGCAAAGUUUUUAAGCAGGAUAAGUUGUUUUCUUGUCUCUUUUUCUCUUCCCACUACAUGUUGUCAUGCAUUUGAAAGGUUUCCAUUGACCUCUAGGUCUCUACCCUCUACUUCUCAGGAAUGGGUCUGAGAAAAUAUUUUGUCUAAGGCACAAAAUAUACACUAAGUAACACUACUUGUUGAAUAGACGUAUGAAUGAGUGAAUGCCUGAGUAUGCUUCUAUUAAGAGGAUUUUAUUCACUUGUUUCUUAUGAACAUCCUUGAGUACCUACUAUAAACAAAGCACUGAAUGAAUUCCACACUGUUCCCACUUUCAGAAGUCUCCAGGAUCAUGAUCAUAAGCCCAUGCACACAGAGCUAAUUAUAAUACAACACAGUAAGUGCUGUGCUACAGGUGUUAAACAAUGCUAUGGUAACAGAGAAGCGCAUGAUUAAUUUAUUAAUUCUGCUGCAGUGGGGGUUGGGCAAAAGGAAGGAACUGACAGGGGAAGAGCUUCAGUGAAGGGAUGACAUUUAAACUGAGAGUAAAAGAAAAAAAUGCUUCUUCCUGCAGAAAGGAGUAAGGGGAAGGAUCCUGUAAGCUGCAGAAGAGUUUGCAUGGAGAUUUAAAGAUGUUUGCUUUGUAGCAGCUACAGGUGUCCAGUGGCGUCAACCAGGGGCUAGGGCACCAUUGUGGGAAUUUAGGGAGACACGAUCUUUAAGGGACUUCAUGGAAAGUUGCUUAUUCUCCAGUGUAGGGCCAGUUUGGUCCAUUACUCUGUUAUAUACUAAUAUAUUAACAGUGCCCAAUAAUUACUCUUAGUGGUCUGAUAAAUUCAAUGAGUAAUGCACAUUGAGUUUUUAGGUUUCAAACACAAAUAUUCAACUUAAGCCUUAUGUAUUAAUUCUUCCUUUCAAAUCAAACUUUGCUGGCUCAUUUUUCAGUUAGGUGUUCACUUUGUAGAUGUAAACUCAUCUAUAGCAUGACAUACAAUAAUAUUAAUGUACUGCUAACAAGAUUUUUCCUAUAAAAACAUGUAUUUAUAACUUCAGCUCUGGUCUCCUAGCCCUUGAUCUUUUAGCACCUGCCAACUUUUAUGGCAGCUCGCAAAGCAAGGGCACCUUCCACAUCUCUACAUUUGCCUUUCCUCUUUUGGGCAGAAACAUUGAAAAAACAGCUUUCAGGCCAAAGGAAUGAAGGUGAAGACUGUAUACUCAGGCCUAUAUGGAUUUGCUACCCAAAAUCUACUUGGAGGAUCAAACUGCAGAUUUCAAUAGCUAUAGCCUGCAGGCUAUAAUUAACAAGACAAGAAAUAACAAGUAUUGGAGAGGAUGUGGAGAGAAGGGAACCCUCAUCACUGUUGGUGGGAAUGCAAACUGGUGCAGCCGCUAUGGAAAACAGUAUGCAGAUUUCUCAAAAAAUUAAAAAUAGACGUACCGUAUGACCCAGUUAUCCCACUACUGGGUAUCUAUCCAAAGAACAUGAAAUCAAUCAUUUGAAAAUAUUUAUGCACUCCUAUGUUCAUCACAGCCUUAUUCACAAUAGCCAAGAUAUGGAAGCAACCCAAGUACCCAUCAAGGGGUAAAUAGAUAAAGAAGAUGUGGUAUGUAUAUACAAUGGAAUACUACUGAGCCAUAAAAGACAGAGUUUCACCAUCUGUGACAACAUGGAUGAACCUUGAGGGUAGUAUGCUAAGCAAAAUAAGUCAGACAGAGAAAGACAAAUACUGUAUGAUUUCACUAUGUGGAAGAUAAACAAACACGUACAUUAGGAGAACAGAUUGGUGGUGACCAGGGAGGAAGUGGGUAGGGGGAGGACAAAAGAGGUAAAGGGACACAUAUGUACAAUGACAGAUAAAAACUAACUUAUUGUGGUGAACACGAUGCAGUCUAUACAGAAACCGAAAUAUAAUAUAUACCUGAAAUGUACACAAUGUUAUAAGCCAAUAUGAUCUCAAUAAAAUAAUAAAAAAAUAGUGGGAUGGAAGAAUCAAUAUUUUCAAAGCAUAUAUCCUCAAACAUUGUCUGUAGAUUGUACAAAUUUCUUGCACAUAUAGCUGCUACUAUUUUUAAUCUUGUAUAGUUUAUAUGUACUCUUCUGAUUUGUGAAAUACCAAUUAUUUGAAAUGCUGUUAAAUUCAUUGUGGUCUUGUAAAAAAUAAUUCUAGUAAUAAACUAGAAGCAAUCAGUAAAAGCAAACACUUAGGAAAAGAUCAAUUUCAGCUAGGAAGAUGUUAUAGUCAGAAUGUUCCUAGGAUUAUUAAAUCUGCAACUGAUUUACAUGCACUUUAAUUUAGUUUUCAGUUUUAUUAGUGUCAAAAUCUUGUUCUACUUUGGAUCUACUGAUUUUUCCAUUCCAGAGUCGAUGCCAUUUUUAAAGGAUGGUUUAAGAACCAAUAAUGUAAUCCACAUUCUGCUAAAACCUUUCGUAUAAGAGCUUUACUCAGAUGUACUUUUUUUGUUUAAAAAAAUCUGAUUUUAAUUGCCAAACUCCUUUUUAAAAUCAAUUCAGUGAAAAAAUGCUAUGGUUUUCUACUGUGUUUUUUUUCUUUCUUUCUUAAACUCAAGGGAAAAGAUGGAUGAACAACAAAAAAAGUACUUUGUAUAGAGUCUUCUUUAAUGUCUCACUUUGGUGAUGUAUGAAAUCAAAACCAAAUUGUUUGCCUCAGCUAAAAGGCUUAGUUUGAAUUAUCCAGAGUGCUUGUGUUUUGUAGUCAUUUCUUGUAAUGAUUUUAUUUGUUUCUCUGGUAUGCACCAUCAUAUUAACACAUGCUAAGUAAGGGACACUUUUUAAAUAUACAUGCUUUGGUUGUGGAAUCUGCCUCUUCUUUUGUCUGGGCCAAAAAUUAUUCUGGAGUUUCUAGUAAGAAUGGUUAAGGCAGGAUGAGUAGAAAAAGCAACUAAAAAAGAACUAAAGGAGAUGAACAAGAGUUUAUUUGAUACUAAAGGCCAUCUUUUGUGAUUCUGCUCUUUUGGGGAGAAUGCAGUAUUUCCUAUUAGAAUGUUUUUAUGAUGCCAAAAAAAUAUUUGGACAAUUUAAUCAAACCCAUCAAAGACCCUGAGUCAUUUAUAUGCAUAUUAAAUGUGUAUAUUACAAUUCAGUCAAAUGGACUGGCUUCUAGUACUAACUGAAAUCAUCUGUCAUACGGUCACUUCCAGUAAAUGAUCAGAAGAAAUCAAAUGGUUCAGGUCACUCAUUGGAAAGCGUUUUUAAGGAGAAAUUUCUUCCCAUCAUUGUGAGUGUAUUACCUAAGACCUUUUUGGUCAUAAUAGCAGAGAUCCAUGUCACACCGGCUUAAUUAAAACAUAAGAAUUUAUGGUAAGGAUGCGUCACAGAGCACAGAGGCAGGAGAUGCAACAACUGGGGCUUGUGAGGGACCACAGUUCUUGAAAUAUCUUUCUUCACUCCAAUUUUUCUGCCUAGAGGCCAAGUGUUAAAUUUCCUGUUAUGUCUGUCUGUCUGUCUUCUGUCUCAUCUCAAGGUCUGUUCUUUGGUGCACUCCUGCUUCAGUCUUCUCUUUCUGCUUCUCCACACCCUCUGCUGUCCCACAGCUCCCAAAGUUCUGUGUCCUCUAUUUAGCAAAGCCGUCCUCAGUCCAGAUUUGCAGGAAGGAAAAUCAAUCAGGUUAUCUUUGGCUUCGGAUGGGUGUUGACCCCAGCUACAUGCAAGAUAGGGUCUCAUGUACAAAUAUAGUUGGCAAGUUUUCAUUUCCAUGGGAAGGAGGGGAGUGUUGACUUCAGAGAAAAGGAAAUCUAGUGAGGUGGCAGACUUCUCAAAGGUAACCCAUUUAAAAAUAUAACCAAUUCAGUUCACUUAAAAACGCACACACACACACAAGUAUAGCCUAUAGUUUUUCUGUAACUACAGUAUACUCACUGAAACUUUACUAUGUAAGACAUUUAAGAAAUUUUUGGCUGCAAUAUAGUUUAGGAAAUUUACUCCAGAGAGGCAACAUACAUUGGGGAAAGAAUAAAGACUUUAGGGAAUGACAGAUUUGGGUUCCAUUUUUGGUCCCCACAUUUAGUAAGUUAGGGGCUGUAGGUAUUUAUUCCACCUUCGCAGACUCAGUUUGCACAUCUAUAAAAUGGGGAUACUGAUACGUACGUCACAGGAGUUCUAAUAAUUCACAGUUGUGUAUGUACAAUGACUGGAACACUAAUUCACGCUAAUAGUCAGUAAGUGGAACUGUCAUUACUAUCUAUACAUUUGGUGUGAUUUUCAGUCACAUAAUCAGCAGUUUAAAUUCAAAUGAAGUACAUAUAUGUUUGGCUCAAAAGGGGCUACUUUGAAGCAGCCCCUGAAGAACUUGAAAACAGAGAAAUGAAUAUUUUUUCUUAAACUAUAAACGCAACUCAAAAUGAAACAGAGAAAGAUAUGCAAAGGCAAUUUAAAGCAGUCUUUCCCAAACUGCUCUUAUGACUCCUUCCACAACCUGGUGAUAGAUACACAAUUCCUAAACUAUUAUUUAGUGUUUUCCAUUAAAUUAACUUUAUAUCAAUCUA